RNAcentral lists this ribosomal RNA (224 nucleotides) under uncultured bacterium. RNAcentral's name for it is "partial 16S ribosomal RNA". It matches the Rfam family "Bacterial small subunit ribosomal RNA", at positions 15 to 217 of the family's 1533-position model. The record is from RNAcentral.
GAUCAUGGCUCAGGACGAACGCUGGCGGCGUGCUUAACACAUGCAAGUCGAACGAGAAGAGAUGAGAAGCUUGCUUCUUAUCAAUUCGAGUGGCAAACGGGUGAGUAACGCGUAAGCAACCUGCCCUUCAGAUGGGGACAACAGCUGGAAACGGCUGCUAAUACCGAAUACGUUCUUUUUGUCGCAUGGCAGAGGGAAGAAGGGGAGGCUCUUCGGAGCUUUCG